RNAcentral lists this ribosomal RNA (468 nucleotides) under uncultured bacterium. RNAcentral describes it as "partial 16S ribosomal RNA". It matches the Rfam family "Bacterial small subunit ribosomal RNA", at positions 28 to 507 of the family's 1533-position model. The record is from RNAcentral.
GACGAACGCUGGCGGCGUGCUUAACACAUGCAAGUCGAACGGAAAGGCCCUGCUUUUGUGGGGUGCUCGAGUGGCGAACGGGUGUGUAACACGUGAGUAUCCUGUCCCUGACUUUGGGAUAACUUCAGGAAACUGGGGCUAAUACCGGAUAGGAUCUUCUGCAGCACGGGGGGGGUAGGAAAGUUUCGGCGGUUUGGGAUGGUUUCGCGGGUUAUCCGCUUGAUGGUGGGGUAGUGGCUUACCAAGGCUACGACGGGUAGCCGGCCUGAGAGGGUUACCGGCCACAUGGGGACUGAGAUACGGACCAGACGCCUACGGGAGGCAGCAGUGGGGAAUAUUGCACAAUGGGCGGAAGCCUGAUGCGGCAACGCCGCGUGCGGGAUGACGGCCUUCGGGUUGUAAACCGCUUUCGCCUGUGACGAAGCGUGAGUGACGGUAAUGGGUAAAGAAGCACCGGCUAACUACGUG